AGAACGAACGCUGGCGGCAGGCCUAACACAUGCAAGUCGAACGCUCGUAGCAAUACGGGAGUGGCAGACGGGUGAGUAACACGUGGGAACCUUCCCUAUGGUUCGGAAUAGCUCAGGGAAACUUGGGGUAAUACCGAAUAAGCCCUUCGGGGGAAAGAUUUAUCGCCAUUGGAUGGGCCCGCGUCGGAUUAGCUAGUUGGUGGGGUAACGGCCUACCAAGGCGACGAUCCGUAGCUGGUCUGAGAGGAUGAUCAGCCACACUGGGACUGAGACACGGCCCAGACUCCUACGGGAGGCAGCAGCGAGGGAUUUUCGGCAAUGGGCGCAAGCCUGACCGAGCAACGCCGCGUGCGGGACGACGCCCUUCGGGGUGUAAACCGCUUUUCGGUGGGACGAUGAUGACGGUACCACGGAUAAGCCUCGGCUAACUACGUGCCAGCAGCCGC
This 446-nucleotide ribosomal RNA is filed under the name uncultured bacterium. RNAcentral describes it as "SSU rRNA". It matches the Rfam family "Bacterial small subunit ribosomal RNA", at positions 26 to 518 of the family's 1533-position model. The record is from RNAcentral.